Molecule: long non-coding RNA, 5210 nt
Organism: Gallus gallus (chicken)
Lineage: Eukaryota; Metazoa; Chordata; Aves; Galliformes; Phasianidae
Source: Ensembl
CUCUGCAGUAACUGCUGAGACCCCACCAAAGAGCAGAAAUUAGGGAGAAAUUUCAGAAGCCAGCUUGGACAUGAUGCUUUCUAUCUGCGUGAACGUGAGGAAAAGAUAAAGGUGAGUGCAAUAGAUGUUGCAGAGGCUGCAUAGCCUGCAGGUCAGUGUGAGCCCACACUGAACACACAUCGGGUCUCUGCACCAGCAAAGUAAUCUGAAGGCAAUUUUGGAGAGCUGCGUGCUCACCAAACACCGAGCUGCCUUUAUCUGAAAUAUAUUGUCUGUGUUAAGGAACUUCAAUACCAGAUGUCUUACGUGCAAGACAGACAGCCGGUUCAACUACAGCAGUACUCCAACAGGGAUGAAUAUCAUCAUGGGGGGGAUUGCAAAGCACAUUAAGGGGGAAAUGGGUGCUGAGAUUUCUUCCUCCUGGUGGUCCCCUGGAAGACAGAGACACGCUGUGGUAGGAGGGCUGAAUGUUGUGGCUGAAGUCAGAGAAAAACCAGGCAGAGAGGAGCCCAGGGAGCACUCUGGAGCAUUGGGAUUGCAGGUCAGUCCCCACAGCACAUACCUCCAUCAGGUGGACAUAGUUUGGUGUCUGAAGAAACAACAGCGAGAUCAAAUAUCCAUUAGAAUGAUUUCUUCUCUUUCCAUGCAUUCCAUCAUGAGUGGUGACAGGAGCUGUAGGGCUCGAGAAUGUCAACCCAUAGGACAUCUCACACCUGGGCUGCCCUUAAGGAGGGAAGGGACGGGCCCAGUAACACACACACUUCAGUGGACGUAGAGCACUGCUAAUCUACAUCAGGACUUACACCAGGGCUCCUAUCUACCCCGGUCCUGCUCUGUAAGGAGCCUGAAUUCCGCGGCAGGCAAAGAGACACUCAUUUGGUGGAGAGCAGGGAUUCCUCUGUGAGCCCCACCAGAUGGAAACCCAUUUUGCUCAGGAACUGCACUGGGAGUUGACACACUUCUUGCAAAACAAGCACAGUGCCAAAUCUCCAGGCAGAAAGCCAUGCUUGAAAAGGGUUUUUUUUUUUAACAAUGUGCUCUCAUCUGCUUUUUCCUCUUAGCAAAAACUUCCUCACUUACCAGUUUAUAUCUCCCGCUGCCAUAGUUUCCCUUCAGCUUCAUAUCUCAGCUCCUGCUCUGCUCUCUGUGCACAUUUAUACACCAAACACUUUGCAGAAAACUUGAAAGGACUGCAUUGUCCUGCUAAUUGGUUAUAAGCACGUUAUCUGCAAUCUGCUGUCCCUGCCCAGCUAUUGUGCUCCCUUGGGGAUAAAACACACAUUAUUUAUUUGGAAUAAGUGCAUGUUAUGCUUAUAACAAGAUAAGCACAAAACAAAAAAAUUACAAAUUAGAAACAUCAUUUUUCUCUUCACAAUGUUCAAGCUGGGAAUAUAAGCACUUGUACAAUAUAUGCAUGCAUACAGUGAAGGCAUAUAUGCAGGAUCCAUCUGAUUUGCCAGACCUGAAUACCUCAGUUUUGAGAACCACGUGUGCAAAUGCCAAGUAAUCUGACUGCUGCUGAAGGUGGACGUGGUGUAAAUCUGAGACCUCUGCAGGCUGCUGAGGGAUGCUCUGCACGUUAUCACAGCCUCAGAUGACCCUGGAGAAAAUCUCUGAGUGAGGAAAGAGGAUACAACUGGAAAAAAAGAACAGGCUAUGUGAGGAAUAUUUAUAAAACAUUUCUAAUCUCUACUCUCUGCAUAUCUUGAGAGAUGAGGAAAGUGCUUCUUGAGAGAAGGCUCUGUAGGCAGGCUGCAGUAAGGGGUGCUCAAAAUGCACAUCCAUUACUUUUGGGUGGUUUAUCAGUUUCAUUAUCAGAUUCAAAAUUAGAACCCCUUCCUUGUGAGCAGUGGUAAUUGUGUCUUAAAAAGGCACAGUGAAGAAAAUACAGUUGUGUGCAGAUCUGCAGAGCACAAUGGGGCCUCCACUGCCAGCAGGGGUCCCAGGCAUGAUCUCUCCUCUUGGGCAAUUCCAACGGGAGAACCCUGAUAACCCUCAUAUCUAGAUCUGUAAGAGCAACUCAUUGUCCUCUGCUAUCCUGUAAUUUAAAUAACACAUGUAGAGCCAUCAGCAGCCGGCAGACAUAUUGUGCUAUACAGUUGCCUUGCUGUUCAAAUUAACGUAAUUACACGCCCAGUUCUCCUAUUUCAGUUGUAAUAGUGAAAACAGUGAACUUGCUGAUAACAGUGAGUACAAAGGCUCUGUUUUCUAGUUUAAGAGCUAAGCUCUUGUGUCAAAAGAGCAGUUUAAAGUUCACAGCCUGCUCUUAGUGGUCACACUUCAGCCACCAGGUGCACUUACCCAGCUCCACUUUCCUCCUUUCUCUCCAGAAUGCUUUAUGGGGAAGAGCUGUGUUUCCCUAAAUAAGGCAAAUAUCCUUUAUUCAGCUGGGCACUGGCAUGGAGUAACAUCAGUGUGGUUUCGAUAUGGCUCAAAAACCGUGGGUUGUUAAGCUGUGGUGGAAGGCAGCACGUGAAAAACCCCAGCCCUUCUUUCAUGAAAGGGGAGCUCAGGCCUCAGCCUUGGAUGAAGGCUCCUUGUGCAGCCCUGUACCACUUUGCCCCCUAAAUACAUCAUGUGAGCUCUUUGUGCCACCACAUCAUAAACCAGCCAUGGGAAUGGAAGAAGACUGCAGAGACCUCCCCAAAGGGCACCACUGCACUGCCCAGUGCCUGGCUGGAAGAGGCUGCUGAAACAAAGCAUGGGUGUAACUCAAGUUUGGAUUUAGCACUUCCUUUGCCAACAAGCACUGCUAAAAUGGAAACUGCUCAUAACAAAGAACACAAAAGCAAAACUGAAAUCAAAAAAUCCCCAUGAAGUGAUCUCGUAAUUAGCAGCUAUUUCUCAUAAAUAGCCGUUGCCUUCCAAAACUAAUUUCAUUAUGGAUAAGCAUUAGGCAGAUCUUCCCCCCAAUCUGUUUGAGCAGCAUGAAAGCACAGGUUCCCCUCCUCUCCUUGAACUCUUCCCUGUGUCAGUGUCUCCUUGCUAGCCCACAGGGUAACCGUCCAGCUCUUGGCUGGCCUAAUGAACUGUAGUGGCCCCAGUUUGCUGGCAGCCCCAGAGCUGAUCCAAAGCAAAAAACAACAGCCCGGGGCCGAGCGCUGUGUGCUUUGCCAUGGCUUCACCCAUUUGCAGCCUCCUCACUGCUGAGCUGAGUCCCACCAAAGCCUUACAUCAGCACAUCUUUGGGCCUUGUCAGCUCUUGCCAGUGUCAACUUCGAGCUGUGCUUCUCCAGAUCCAUCUCUGUGUGUCCAUGUAUCUUUAAAAGGACACAAACCCCCCUCUGCAGCCCUCUCCAUGGCAAUCUCACCUACAGAAUCCGCCAACACAAGUUUUCAAUUCUUAUCUGGAAAAGGUUUUGAAAUGGUUUUACUAUUGUGAAACAUUUUACAGGGAAGUCUGGAUUCCUUGAAUAGAUAUCUGAAUUGACGGUUGAAGCUCCAGGACAUGCCUUUGCUGCAUUUCCAGUUCUCCUCCUCCACCACUAAAGUUUUCCCCAUGCAAUCUAAGAUCCUUCAUCAACUAGAAAAAUUAGAAGAAGUCAACUGAAUCAUCACAAGAUCACGUCCAUGUGUAGCAAAACUGUUUUAAGUGUCUCCUCCCCUGUUUUGCUGUGCUGCGCAGUUUGUCAUCCCCUCAGCUGUGCCCCCCCAUUCUGGUGUCCCUGCUGAGAAACAGCUUCCAGAAAACAGUCAGUUCAAACUUUUUUAUAAGUGCUUUUUUUUUUACCUUCUUCUGUGAUCUAUCUAUCUUUGUACUGUGGCCCCAGUUGUCCCGGUCAGCUCCAGCACAGCGUGGGAGGGGAUGGCCAGGCACUGCUCUGCCCCAGCUCCAAAGGAACCGUGGUAAAAGAAGCAACUCCAAGGGGGUUACAAGGAGGAGCUUGCAAGGCCUCCUGGCUCCUCUGCAGAGCUUCUCCCUCCUGUCAAAUGAUCCACUCAUCCUCCCCAGCUCAGAAAUCCUGCCCAUGCUGAUUUCCAGUUAAAGGAAGACCAACGACUCUACACAUCCACUUGGAAACACCAUCUGAAAUGUUGCGGAUCCCUCAACACUGUGCACUCAGAUCUGGGAAGAAAUACGAGUCCUCAACAGGACUCAAAGCACCUUUGUGAAGGCUCUUUCUAACUGUUGACAUUCUAUGUUCUGUUUUCAAAUGCACUUUAUUUGCAUUACCUGAAUAAACCUUCUGUUAAUAAGUUACCUAGCAGCUCUGAGUGAUCAGAACAGUAGUUAAUCUGCUGAUAAUGUUGAUAUUCAGGCAAAUAAGAGUAGCGACUGAACAAAGUUGAAUACAAGUUGGGAAUGCUUUGCUUGCUGAGAGGUCUCUAGUUUGCUUACGUGUUAACUCACAUCUCAGCUAAUGAGAAAAAACAAGUAUUGGGAGUUAUUCAAAACGAAGCUCUGGGCUGCAUGCAGCAAACACACAGCUCUGAUACUGAUUGUUAAAAAUACUUUGUUCUCUACCUUAGGAGUUUAGGAAUUAGCUGUUUAUUAUCGGGGAUCUUUCUGAACAUCCUUCCCAAGUAAAUAAGGAAAUCCUUCUUAAAAGAGUCUGAAGAAGUGUUUGUUAAACCUUUUUGUUCCCAGACACUCCAGUUCUCCUCUCGCACACCGAUGUCAGCUUGAGUUCAACCUGAAAAAACCGAGCAUGGCAAAGCAAAAACCCGAGCCCUGAGAGCAAACACCCUGCAGCUCAGUGAAGCACGCAGCAGUUUGCUUUCAGUUAACUAUUGCUAUAGUUAUAUUUUUCAGUUAAACAUUACACAACUUUGGAGUAGGAAUGGUGAAAAUAAAGGCGUGUUGACCCAGGAGACAGCUCCCCUUUCAGUGCUCCCUUCUGCCCUUUCUGUUUUCUGUGUUUCAGUGCCGUUCAAGCCCAGAAACUCACCUUGCACCUGGCAACAUCUGCCACCUGUAAAUGCUGGAGCUUCACAGGUCCCCUCCGUGCAGCAGUCGGGCCACAGAGCUGUACUGAUCCUCGGUUUGCUGGUAGAUAUGGGGAGAUUCUGCUCCUCACUGCAGAAAGACUCAUUUUUCAGGGCAGAAGGAAAAUGCAUUUGCUAUUCAGCAUCACUGAAGACACAAACUGAAGAUCCACGUAAGCAAUAAGGUAUUUCUGCACCUCCUGCAAGACAUUUAUGCAACACCUUCUAUAAUAUUAAAGCGUGUGCAAUUUUAUCACUACUGUGAUAUCACUGGCGUGUUCCCU